Non-coding RNA from Schistosoma rodhaini, 45 nucleotides. The record is from Rfam. NCBI's taxonomy places the organism in Eukaryota, Metazoa, Platyhelminthes, Trematoda, Strigeidida, Schistosomatidae.
AUCCAGCUGACGAGUCCCAAAUUAGACGAAGCGUUAGUUCUGGAU